CUACAGUCAGCUAUUGGAUAGA
RNAcentral lists this unclassified non-coding RNA (22 nucleotides) under Mus musculus (house mouse). RNAcentral's name for it is "oocyte_clustered_small_RNA13604". The record is from RNAcentral. Lineage: Eukaryota; Metazoa; Chordata; Mammalia; Rodentia; Muridae.